UUCCCCUUGGUCUAGUGGUUAGGAUUCAACACUCUCACCGCCGCAGCCCGGGUUUGAUUCCCAGGCAGGGAAG
This 73-nucleotide transfer RNA is filed under the name Homo sapiens (human). RNAcentral describes it as "tRNA-Glu-CTC-9-1". Lineage: Eukaryota; Metazoa; Chordata; Mammalia; Primates; Hominidae. The record is from RNAcentral.